This 72-nucleotide non-coding RNA is filed under the name Erwinia tasmaniensis. RNAcentral's name for it is "Hfq-regulated sRNA 1". It matches the Rfam family "Hfq-regulated sRNA 1". Lineage: Bacteria; Pseudomonadati; Pseudomonadota; Gammaproteobacteria; Enterobacterales; Erwiniaceae. The record is from Rfam by way of RNAcentral.
AAAAAAAACCCGCCAUCAUGGCGGGGUAGACAGGGAUACGUCUAUGGCAAGGAAAACAGGGGUACUAUCUUU